Molecule: long non-coding RNA, 973 nt
Filed under: Olea europaea subsp. europaea
Lineage: Eukaryota; Viridiplantae; Streptophyta; Magnoliopsida; Lamiales; Oleaceae
Source: RNAcentral
CUAUAACAUGUGAGCAUCUGUGACCUAUACAAUAUGACCUGUGAAUUAUAAUUUGUGACCAAUUAAUAGUGACCUAUGAAUAUAAAUCUGUGAUAUGUGACAUAUAACAAGUGCACAGGGACAUGUAACAUGUUAUCAGUUUACAUGUUCCAGGUCAUUGUAUACAAGACACUGGUCAUUGCAUCAAUUCACAAAUUAUUUAUUUUAUUGGUCACAAAUCGUGUCUAUACAACCCCAAACCAAUCCAAACCCAGCAACACAACCAGAACCUACACCAUUACCACUAGAACCACUAUUGUCAUUGCCAACACGACCACAGCAUAUCAUAUCAAAAAAUCACCCACAAAAAACCACCAACAAUAAACAAGAUAUUCAAACAAGAUAAAUAACAGACACAAAAUAGGAAAACACCAACACCAAAUAACUACAGUAACUGGAGACUCGCCAUUAUAACUACUACAAUAUCCACAUCAAAUCUAAAACCAAUAUCAUAACCUCUAUAUCAAAUCCAAACCAAUCACCACCAACCCACCAUCACUGCAUUUUUUCCCCUACUAAAUUAACCAAUCUCAACAACUAAAGGCUAAGACUCACCAACGAUAGCAGAGUUAAAAUGAAUAAAGAAAUGAAAAAUAGAUGCAAUAGGGACCAAUGGUGGUUUAAGGUGGGAAGACUAGUGACUGGUGGAUGGUUUCUCCUGGCCAACGAAUGAGGAUUUGGCGCGAUCAAAGGAUGAAGUCGAUGGUGGACAGAUGCUGUAGAUGGCGAUCUUAGAGCAAUUGCUAUAGGGCGCAGGCUUCGGAGCAGAGAUAUGCGGGAAACUUGUUGAUGAUUCGAUGAUUCAGUAGGAUACCAAUGAAAUUGAUAGGUCGCCGAAGUGAAAUGCAGUAGUGGUCAACGGAGUGAGAAUGGUGGGUUGCGACAGACAAUGGGUGAAGAUAGAAAUGUUGGGAAUCUACUUAUACAUGCACAG